UAGCCUACGGGGGGCAGCAGUGGGGGAUAUUGCACAAUGGGGGAAACCCUGAUGCAGCGACGCCGCGUGGGCGAAGAAGUAUUUCGGUAUGUAAAGCCCUAUCAGCAGGGAAGAAGAAAUGACGGUACCUGAGUAAGAAGCACCGGCUAAAUACGUGCCAGCAGCCGCGGUAAUACGUAUGGUGCAAGCGUUAUCCGGAUUUACUGGGUGUAAAGGGUGCGUAGGCGGCCCUGCAAGUCAGAAGUGAAAUCCAUGGGCUUAACCCGUGAACUGCUUUUGAAACUGCAGGACUUGAGUGGAGUAGG
Molecule: ribosomal RNA, 305 nt
Filed under: uncultured bacterium
Lineage: Bacteria
Description: bacterial SSU rRNA
Rfam family: Bacterial small subunit ribosomal RNA
Source: RNAcentral